Molecule: long non-coding RNA, 603 nt
Filed under: Anser brachyrhynchus (Pink-footed goose)
Lineage: Eukaryota; Metazoa; Chordata; Aves; Anseriformes; Anatidae
Description: lncRNA (ENSABRG00000000226.1)
Source: RNAcentral
UGUGAACGUAUCAGGAAUGGGAAAAAGCAACCUUUGGGUCCUGCAAUAGGUCGGUAGGGCAAGUCCCUCACUUGCUUAAACGUGGAUUUAUUAAGGACUUGAUUCUGAUCUUAUUUCACAGCUACAUAAUUCCACCGCUAUGAAGUUAUCCCAAAUGACUUUUAAAUGCAACACAUGAACGUGGAAAAAUUAGGAGGAUUGCCAAGAUGCGCUUGGGGAGAGCAUUCUUAGAUUUGAUUGUGAUGUAGAAGAUGGAGCACAAAGCCGGAUUCUGCCCUCUGGAAGAGUGGUAGCAGCCAGGAGCGAGGAUGUCACAGCUGCACUGUGCUGGAUGGGAGCAGCUGGAGGAGAAGUCCCCUUUCAAAGCACACCUCCUCUCGUUCUCCUUGAAACAGUUUGUUGAAUCACUGCGAAGCAUUGAGGCUUUAAUGGCUGCUUUGGAGGUGUCUGGCCACACAGCAGAUCCACGGGGUUAGAUAUAUGGAUUAAAAGGGGGAGGAGAAGGCAUCCCUGCCCCGAUGCAGACUCAGGUCCUGAUUCUGCCCUGCUGCAGUGCAAGGAUUUCUAGCAGUGCCUCAAUAAAGCUCAGAAAUGCUGAUCUCA